RNAcentral lists this ribosomal RNA (305 nucleotides) under uncultured bacterium. RNAcentral's name for it is "bacterial SSU rRNA". It matches the Rfam family "Bacterial small subunit ribosomal RNA", at positions 338 to 659 of the family's 1533-position model. The record is from RNAcentral.
CCUACGGGAGGCAGCAGUGGGGAAUAUUGGGCAAUGGGCGCAAGCCUGACCCAGCAACGCCGCGUGAAGGAAGAAGGCCCUCGGGUUGUAAACUUCUUUUAUAUAGGACGAAGAAGUGACGGUACUAUAUGAAUAAGCCACGGCUAACUACGUGCCAGCAGCCGCGGUAAUACGUAGGAUGCGAGCGUUAUCCGGAUUUAUUGGGUUUAAAGGGUGCGCAGGCGGAGGUGCAAGUCAGCGGUCAAAUUGCGGGGCUCAACCCCGUACUGCCGUUGAAACUGCAUCCCUUGAGUGCGCGAGAAGUA